GGCGGCGUGCUUAACACAUGCAAGUCGAGCGGUAAGGCCCUUCGGGGUACACGAGCGGCGAACGGGUGAGUAACACGUGGGUGAUCUGCCUCGUACUCUGGGAUAAGCCUGGGAAACUGGGUCUAAUACCGGAUAUGACCACAUGUCGCAUGGUGUGUGGUGGAAAGAUUUAUCGGUGCGAGAUGGGCCCGCGGCCUAUCAGCUUGUUGGUGGGGUAACGGCCUACCAAGGCGACGACGGGUAGCCGACCUGAGAGGGUGAUCGGCCACACUGGGACUGAGACACGGCCCAGACUCCUACGGGAGGCAGCAGUGGGGAAUAUUGCACAAUGGGCGGAAGCCUGAUGCAGCGACGCCGCGUGCGGGAUGACGGCCUUCGGGUUGUAAACCGCUUUCGACUCCGACGAAGGGCAAGUGACGGUAGGAGUAGAAGAAGCACCGGCCAACUACGUGCCAGCAGCCGCGGUAAUACGUAGGGUGCGAGCGUUGUCCGGAAUUACUGGGCGUAAAGAGCUUGUAGGCGGUCUGUCGCGUCUUCUGUGAAAAUUCACAGCUCAACUGUGAACCUGCAGGGGAUACGGGCAGACUAGAGUACUUCAGGGGAGACUGGAAUUCCUGGUGUAGCGGUGAAAUGCGCAGAUAUCAGGAGGAACACCGGUGGCGAAGGCGGGUCUCUGGGAAGUAACUGACGCUGAGAAGCGAAAGCGUGGGUAGCGAACAGGAUUAGAUACCCUGGUAGUCCACGCCGUAAACGGUGGGUACUAGGUGUGGGUUUCCUUCCACGGGAUCCGUGCCGUAGCUAACGCAUUAAGUACCCCGCCUGGGGAGUAC
Molecule: ribosomal RNA, 830 nt
Filed under: Nocardia mexicana
Lineage: Bacteria; Bacillati; Actinomycetota; Actinomycetes; Mycobacteriales; Nocardiaceae
Description: bacterial SSU rRNA
Rfam family: Bacterial small subunit ribosomal RNA
Source: RNAcentral